UGUAUAACACUUGCUGGUGAGAUUCUUGAGAAAUUCUGAAUUCAGAGCACAGUUCUGUGUCAGCUGUGCUGUGGAUACGGUCUCUCAGCAUCUCCCCGCAGUGCUCGUUCCUGACAGGCUACUGCUAGGCACUGCACUGUGAGUGAUGAGCAGAGGAGGUUGCUCUGACAAGAUGGAGGAACUGAGGCAGGAUUCUCUGCUCCAUGGAUCCACUGUAUGGCAUCUGGAAAGAUAAAAUCCCAACUCCUUGAAAUUGGAUGUCUACUUCUUCAAGUGGCCACCUUGGAAGCCAAGAUUUGGAGAGAUAAUGGUCACAUCUCCUCCAGUGAUGAGCAUUGCUUCGAUCUCGAUAUUAUUACUCGUCUUCCUGCCUUGGGACUUUGAUUCUUUAUAAAAAUUUGCCAAAAUAAUCGGGCCAACCCCUUUUUAGGUUUUUGGUAUUGUCCUUAGAAUUUGACUCAGCAUCAUUUUCUGGUCUCACAAAAUCUGUUUUUAGAGCAGUGUUUAACUGUACCAAGGAGGAGAGCUUUCCCUGCCUGAGAGCCUGCAAUAGGCUCCCCUGAGAGUUUUUUCUUUCUGAUAAGGUGCUGACCUCACUCUUGAUGGUCUGAUUACAUCCUUGUUUUCUGCACUCACAUUUCAAAGGCUAAAGACUGUAUCACUGCCUUUCUCGUUGAUGGCUCUGACACACUCCUUCCCACAGCUGAGGUCAACCUUUGCAGGAAGUAAAGGUUUCCUGUAGACUUUGCUUGACUUGAGGAAAUGGUCCAAGUCUUUACACUGG
RNAcentral lists this long non-coding RNA (784 nucleotides) under Rattus norvegicus (Norway rat). RNAcentral's name for it is "long non-coding RNA NONRATT020927". The record is from RNAcentral. Lineage: Eukaryota; Metazoa; Chordata; Mammalia; Rodentia; Muridae.